RNAcentral lists this ribosomal RNA (497 nucleotides) under uncultured bacterium. RNAcentral's name for it is "partial 16S ribosomal RNA". It matches the Rfam family "Bacterial small subunit ribosomal RNA", at positions 28 to 507 of the family's 1533-position model. The record is from RNAcentral.
GAUGAACGCUGGCGGCGUGCCUAAUACAUGCAAGUCGAGCGAACGGACGAGAAGCUUGCUUCUCUGAUGUUAGCGGCGGACGGGUGAGUAACACGUGGAUAACCUACCUAUAAGACUGGGAUAACUUCGGGAAACCGGAGCUAACACCGGAUAAUAUUUUGAACCGCAUGGUUCAAAAGUGAAAGACGGUCUUGCUGUCACUUAUAGAUGGAUCCGCGCUGCAUUAGCUAGUUGGUAAGGUAACGGCUUACCAAGGCAACGAUGCAUAGCCGACCUGAGAGGGGGAUCGGCCACACUGGAACUGAGACACGGUCCAGACUCCUACGGGAGGCAGCAGUAGGGAAUCUUCCGCAAUGGGCGAAAGCCUGACGGAGCAACGCCGCGUGAGUGAUGAAGGUCUUCGGAUCGUAAAACUCUGUUAUUAGGGAAGAACAUAUGUGUAAGUAACUGUGCACAUCUUGACGGUACCUAAUCAGAAAGCCACGGCUAACUACGUG